GCCCGCUUGGUGGAAUUGGCAGACACAAGGGACUUAAAAUCCCUUUCCCUUCGGGGAGUCCGGGUUCGAGUCCCGGAGCGGGCACCA
RNAcentral lists this transfer RNA (87 nucleotides) under Rhodospirillales bacterium. Its description in RNAcentral is "tRNA-Leu". It matches the Rfam family "tRNA". From Rfam's summary of the family: Transfer RNA (tRNA) molecules are approximately 80 nucleotides in length. Their secondary structure includes four short double-helical elements and three loops (D, anti-codon, and T loops). Lineage: Bacteria; Pseudomonadati; Pseudomonadota; Alphaproteobacteria; Rhodospirillales. The record is from RNAcentral.